This 23-nucleotide non-coding RNA is filed under the name Cricetulus griseus (Chinese hamster). Lineage: Eukaryota; Metazoa; Chordata; Mammalia; Rodentia; Cricetidae. The record is from RNAcentral.
CUGAGGCCCCAAGACGAGUUUAG